Molecule: ribosomal RNA, 1337 nt
Filed under: metagenome
Description: bacterial LSU rRNA
Rfam family: Bacterial large subunit ribosomal RNA
Source: RNAcentral
UCUACACUGUCGAGAAAAGCUUCUAACGAGACAUCAUGUACCCGUACCAAAACCGACACAGGUAGGCGGGGAGAGAAUCCUAAGGUGCGCGGGAAAACCCUCGUUAAGGAACUCGGCAAAAUGCAUCCGUAACUUCGGGAGAAGGAUGGCCGGAGCUGGUGAAGAGAUUGACUCUUGGAGCUGGAGCCGGCGGCAGAAGAGAAGCCCAAGCGACUGUUUACCACAAACACAGGUGCCUGCUAAAGAGAAAUCUGACGUAUAGGUGUUGACACCUGCCCGGUGCUGGAAGGUUAAGGAGAGAUGUCAGGAGCAAUCCGAAGCAUUGAACUGAAGCCCCAGUAAACGGCGGCCGUAACAAUAACGGUCGUAAGGUAGCGAAAUUCCUUGUCGGGUAAGUUCCGACCCGCACGAAAGGUGUAACGACUUGGGCACUGUCUCAACGAGGGACCCGGUGAAAUUGAAAUACCUGUGAAGAUGCAGGUUACCCGCGACUGGACAGAAAGACCCCAUGGAGCUUUACUGCAGCCUGACAUUGAUUUUUGGCAUGUGACGUACAGGAUAGUUGGGAGACGGAGAAGGUAGCCCCCCAGGGUUACCAGAGUCGCUGUUGGGAUACCAACCUUUAUGUGCUAGGGAUCUAACUCGAGAAGUAACGAAGCUGAGGACAGUAUCAGGUGGGCAGUUUGACUGGGGCGGUCGCCUCCGAAAGAGUAACGGAGGCGUCCAAAGGUUCCCUCAGCGCGGACAGAAAUCGCGCGAAGAGUAUAAAGGCAGAAGGGAGCUUGACUGCGAGACAUACAGGUCGGGCAGGUACGAAAGUAGGGCUUAGUGAUCCGGUGGAAUGAGAGUGGAAUUGCCAUCGCUCAACGGAUAAAAGCUACCCUGGGGAUAACAGGCUAAUCUCUCCCAAGAGUCCAUAUCGACGGGGAGGUUUGGCACCUCGAUGUCGGCUCAUCACAUCCUGGGGCUGAAGCAGGUCCCAAGGGUUGGGCUGUUCGCCCAUUAAAGUGGUACGUGAGCUGGGUUCAGAACGUCGUGAGACAGUUCGGUCCAUAUCCAUCGCGGGCGUAAGAUACAUGAGGGAGACUGCUCCUAGUACGAGAGGACCGGAGUGGACGGACCGCCGGUGUACCAGUUGUUUCGCCAGAAGCACAGCUGGGUAGCUGCGUCCGGAAGGGAUAAACGCUGAAAGCAUCUAAGCGUGAAGCCCGUCCCGAGAUGAAGUAUCUCAUGUCGUAAGACAGUAAGACACCUUGAAGAAGACAAGGUUGAUAGGGUAGAUGUGGAAGUCCUGCAAGAGAUGAAGCUGACUACUACUAAUAUGUCGAGGGCUUAAC